AAAGCGUGCGCAGGCGGUUUUGUAAGACUGUCGUGAAAUCCCCGGGCUCAACCUGGGAAUGGCGAUGGUGACUGCAAGGCUAGAGUUUAGCAGAGGGGGGUAGAAUUCCACGUGUAGCAGUGAAAUGCGUAGAUAUGUGGAGGAACACCGAUGGCGAAGGCAGCCCCCUGGGUCAAAACUGACGCUCAUGCACGAAAGCGUGGGGAGCAAACAGGAUUAGAUACCCUAGU
This 230-nucleotide ribosomal RNA is filed under the name uncultured bacterium. RNAcentral describes it as "partial 16S ribosomal RNA". It matches the Rfam family "Bacterial small subunit ribosomal RNA", at positions 562 to 791 of the family's 1533-position model. The record is from RNAcentral.